Molecule: ribosomal RNA, 771 nt
Filed under: uncultured Alphaproteobacteria bacterium
Lineage: Bacteria; Pseudomonadati; Pseudomonadota; Alphaproteobacteria
Description: bacterial SSU rRNA
Rfam family: Bacterial small subunit ribosomal RNA
Source: RNAcentral
AUCGAAACGAUAGCUAGACUUCGGUUUAGUGGACAGUGGCAGACGGGUAGUAACGCGUGGGAAUCUACCUUUGAGUGGGGAAUAACAAUUAGAAAUGAUCGCUAAUACCGCAUACACCCUCCGGGGGAAAGGCUUCGGCCGCUCUUAGAUGAGCCCGCGUACGAUUAGUUUGUUGGUGAGGUAAAGGCUCACCAAGACUACGAUCGUUAGCUGGUUUGAGAGGAUGAUCAGCCACACUGGGACUGAGACACGGCCCAGACUCCUACGGGAGGCAGCAGUGGGGAAUAUUGGACAAUGGGCGAAAGCCUGAUCCAGCCAUGCCGCGUGACUGAAGAAGGCCUUAGGGUUGUAAAACUCUUUCGACAGGGAAGAUAAUGACGGUACCUGUAUAAGAAGCUCCGGCUAACUCCGUGCCAGCAGCCGCGGUAAUACGGAGGGGGCAAGCGUUGCUCGGAAUUACUGGGCGUAAAGCGAGCGUAGGCGGUUAGUCAAGUUGGUGGUGAAAGCCCGGAGCUCAACUCCGGAACUGCCAUCAAAACUGACUUACUUGAGAUUGGUAGAGGAAAAUGGAAUUCCUAGUGUAGAGGUGACAUCCGAGAUAUUGGGAAGAACAUCGGUGGCGAAGGCGAUUAUCUGGGCCAUAUCUGACGCUGACGUUCGAAAGCGUGGGUAGCCAACGGGAUUACAUACCCUGGAUAAUCACGCCGAUAACCAUGAGUGCUAGACAGUGGAACAUCAUUUUCCGAGUCCCAAGUAACGCAUUAGCCUCCA